Molecule: ribosomal RNA, 225 nt
Filed under: uncultured bacterium
Lineage: Bacteria
Description: partial 16S ribosomal RNA
Rfam family: Bacterial small subunit ribosomal RNA
Source: RNAcentral
UCACCGGCGGACGGGUGCGUAACACGUGGGAAUAUACCUUUCGGUACGGAACAACUGCGGGAAACUGCAGCUAAUACCGUAUACGUCCUAGCGGAGAAAGAUUUAUCGCCGAAGGAUUAGCCCGCGUUCGAUUAGCUAGUUGGUGAGGUAAUGGCUCACCAAGGCUACGAUCGAUAGCUGUUCUGAGAGGAAGAUCAGCCACACUGGGACUGAGACACGGCCCAG